UACGUAGGGGGCAAGCGUUAUCCGGAUUCAUUGGGCGUAAAGAGCGCGUAGGCGGCUUGUUAAGUCAGGCGUGAAAUCUGGGGGCUCAACCCGCAGCUUGCGUCUGAAACUGGCAGGCUUGAGUCUGGUAGAGGAAAGUGGAAUUCCUAGUGUAGCGGUGGAAUGCGCAGAUAUUAGGAGGAACACCAGUGGCGAAGGCGGCUUUCUGGGCCACGACUGACGCUGAGGCGCGAAAGCUAGGGGAGCAAAC
This 250-nucleotide ribosomal RNA is filed under the name uncultured bacterium. RNAcentral describes it as "partial 16S ribosomal RNA". It matches the Rfam family "Bacterial small subunit ribosomal RNA", at positions 524 to 773 of the family's 1533-position model. The record is from RNAcentral. RNAcentral also lists the same sequence under 1 other name.